AAUAGAUACCCUGGUAGUCCACGCCGUAAACGAUGUCGACUUGGAGGUUGUGCCCUUGAGGCGUGGCUUCCGGAGCUAACGCGUUAAGUCGACCGCCUGGGGAGUACGGCCGCAAGGUUAAAACUCAAAUGAAUUGACGGGGGCCCGCACAAGCGGUGGAGCAUGUGGUUUAAUUCGAUGCAACGCGAAGAACCUUACCUACUCUUGACAUCCAGAGAACUUAGCAGAGAUGCUUUGGUGCCUUCGGGAACUCUGAGACAGGUGCUGCAUGGCUGUCGUCAGCUCGUGUUGUGAAAUGUUGGGUUAAGUCCCGCAACGAGCGCAACCCUUAUCCUUUGUUGCCAGCGAUUCGGUCGGGAACUCAAAGGAGACUGCCAGUGAUAAACUGGAGGAAGGUGGGGAUGACGUCAAGUCAUCAUGGCCCUUACGAGUAGGGCUACACACGUGCUACAAUGGCAUAUACAAAGAGAAGCGACCUCGCGAGAGCAAGCGGACCUCAUAAAGUAUGUCGUAGUCCGGAUUGG
Molecule: ribosomal RNA, 524 nt
Filed under: uncultured bacterium
Lineage: Bacteria
Description: bacterial SSU rRNA
Rfam family: Bacterial small subunit ribosomal RNA
Source: RNAcentral